GGAACAUAUAACAUCUAGGUGGGCCAAAACACUGGUAAAGGCCAGUGUAAGCACACAGCUGCUGAUAGCACUGCCCUGUGCUAUACAUGCCCUUUUUUACACCGUCCUUACUUCCGUGGCCAAAUGAGGCCUGCUAAAGGACUCUCCCAGAUCUCUCUGAGAUACCCUGCAGGGAUCACUGUUUCAAGAGGCAGUGACAGGCCAGCAACAAAGUCAGAGGACGGAGUGAAGCAGGAGUUUAAAAUAACCUGUUCUCUGCUGCAAGUGCAGCUCUGCCAACCUGUCAGUCCAGCCAUGCAAGAGAGGGAGAGAGAGAAAAAAGGAGGGAGCGAAGCAGAGAUUCUUUCAGAUCUCAGCAGAUAUUAAGAUUUCCAAUGAACAAAGGAAACAAAUAGCCCCCGGGACCACAAGUGUGUUCUGUAA
RNAcentral lists this long non-coding RNA (423 nucleotides) under Pavo cristatus (Indian peafowl). RNAcentral describes it as "lncRNA (ENSPSTG00000009114.1)". The record is from RNAcentral. Lineage: Eukaryota; Metazoa; Chordata; Aves; Galliformes; Phasianidae.